RNAcentral lists this long non-coding RNA (822 nucleotides) under Nicotiana benthamiana. RNAcentral's name for it is "long non-coding RNA (NBEN_LNC029739)". Lineage: Eukaryota; Viridiplantae; Streptophyta; Magnoliopsida; Solanales; Solanaceae. The record is from RNAcentral.
AGACCUUACACCUUACAGGUAUAACCAUUUUAUAGUAAUAGCCGCAUCUUAACUCUCAAAUUUAACCAUUCCGCUUCUGCUAUUGUUGCAGAUGUAAAUCCUUUACAAUAAUUUCAAUUGCCAUUUUCAAACUCAAAUGCAAACAAUCUCAUUCCAUCUAUUUAAAGCGAGAAAUCUAACAAAAUAGUAUAAGAAAUCAAUUCAAUCUCAAAUCCAAGUUAUUAACACAAAUAGAGUAAAGUUUUAGGCAUUUUCAUUAAAAUAACCAGUAAAAAUAAUGAGAGAAUAGAAGAACGUUUUUCCCCAAAAUGAAACAAAUUGCUGUCUAUUGGACCAGCGUAUGGAGAUCUCGAACGGAACCUCGCCUUCGACCGGUAAUCAUGCAUAGCCAUGAACUUGAAUCCCCCUCCACUCAUUUAAAUUCCAACAUUUGAAACUCAAUUUGAAAUCAAAAGAAAGAAGCAGUAAUAUGUAUUUUUGUAUUUUCAUCCUCUGUUUCUGUCUACGUGCGUAUAUUCUCGCCGAGCUCCGAUGAGAAUGGGGAGAAAAAGAAACGAUGACGGAUGGCUUCUGCUGGCCGUUCAGAGUCAGGUGGGUAGGCGUCUGUGCAUUUGGAUGAAGUUCAUUGUAGGUCUCGCGGUGUGUUGCGACUGUUUGGUGUUUGAGAGGGGUUGCUGGGUGUUGCUUUUGUUGUAGAAAAUCAAGAGGGUCCUCCUUAGUUCUUAGGUCUAUUGCUUGAAAACAGAUAGAGAAUCAGAAGUUCAGGGGUGGGGGGUCUCUUUGGUGUCAAGCAGCGGAUCUCCACUACGGAUUAUGCAUUAG